UUCCGCCCUCCUUCGGCUCGGGUUCCCUCGCGGGUUCUCGGCGUCGUCGGGGCCAAAGGUGCGGCGCGCUCCGCUUUGGUGACUCUGGAUAACUCACUGGUCGAUCGCACGGGCUUCCACGCCCGGCGACGGGUCCCCCGAGGGUAAAAAAAUAUUAUCUGU
This 162-nucleotide ribosomal RNA is filed under the name Egea inermis. Its description in RNAcentral is "partial small subunit ribosomal RNA". Lineage: Eukaryota; Metazoa; Mollusca; Cephalopoda; Oegopsida; Cranchiidae. The record is from RNAcentral.